UACGAAGGGGGCUAGCGUUGCUCGGAAUCACUGGGCGUAAAGCGCACGUAGGCGGAUUGUUAAGUCAGGGGUGAAAUCCUGGAGCUCAACUCCAGAACUGCCUUUGAUACUGGCGAUCUCGAGUCCGGGAGAGGUGAGUGGAACUGCGAGUGUAGAGGUGAAAAUUCGUAGAUAUUCGCAAGAACACCAGUGGCGAAGGCGGCUCACUGGCCCGGUACUGACGCUGAGGUGCGAAAGCGUGGGGAGCAAACAGG
RNAcentral lists this ribosomal RNA (254 nucleotides) under uncultured bacterium. RNAcentral's name for it is "partial 16S ribosomal RNA". It matches the Rfam family "Bacterial small subunit ribosomal RNA", at positions 524 to 776 of the family's 1533-position model. The record is from RNAcentral.